This is a non-coding RNA of Maylandia zebra (zebra mbuna), 476 nucleotides long. Lineage: Eukaryota; Metazoa; Chordata; Actinopteri; Cichliformes; Cichlidae. The record is from RefSeq and is a predicted model, not a curated record.
GCCUGCUCAUGCACAAGACUUCAAAUUUAACUGAAAAAGGCUGUUUUGGCGCCAAGCUGCUGUUUCUUUGAGAGAUCCUGCCUUUACCUGCUCCCUCCUAUACUGAUGUGGUGUAUGUGGUAUUGCUGAGCUUGUAUGUGGUGGAAGCAGAAUAUGUGAGGAUUACUACUGCUGCACAUGUUCCAAGGCUUUUUACACAACUUGACCAAUACACUGACCAGCUCAUAAAAGUCUUCAAGAAAAAAGGAGGCGUUGCAGGGAAGAAAAUUAGACAAACUUUGGCCCCAGCCACACAGGUGCGUUAUUCUGUUGGUAGCAAAAUAUUAUGGCUAAUAAGAUCAUUUUCAAAUUUAAACAGCUAGUGUAUGGUAGCUGCACAGUGCACUUACAUUUAUAUUAAGCAAGACAAAGUUUGGUACUCAAAACGUUGGAAAAUUUAAAUUACCUAAACAUAUGUAAAAUCUGAUCCCUUGAUU